GCAUGCGGGUGGGACAUGAGAUCUUAGCUGGCGCAAGCCUACGCGAUAAGUCGACCGCCUGGGGAGUACGGCCGCAAGGUUAAAACUCAAAUGAAUUGACGGGGGCCCGCACAAGCGGUGGAGCAUGUGGUUUAAUUCGAAGCAACGCGAAGAACCUUACCUGGCCUUGACAUGCUGAGAACUUUCCAGAGAUGGAUUGGUGCCUUCGGGAACUCAGACACAGGUGGUGGAUGGCUGUCAA
Molecule: ribosomal RNA, 241 nt
Filed under: Pseudomonas aeruginosa
Lineage: Bacteria; Pseudomonadati; Pseudomonadota; Gammaproteobacteria; Pseudomonadales; Pseudomonadaceae
Description: partial 16S ribosomal RNA
Rfam family: Bacterial small subunit ribosomal RNA
Source: RNAcentral